This 526-nucleotide ribosomal RNA is filed under the name Oxymonacanthus longirostris (harlequin filefish). RNAcentral's name for it is "partial 16S ribosomal RNA". It matches the Rfam family "Bacterial large subunit ribosomal RNA", at positions 1846 to 2577 of the family's 2925-position model. The record is from RNAcentral. Lineage: Eukaryota; Metazoa; Chordata; Actinopteri; Tetraodontiformes; Monacanthidae.
UAAGAGGUCCUGCCUGCCCGGUGACCUUGAGUUUAACGGCCGCGGUAUCUUAACCGUGCAAAGGUAGCGUAAUCACUUGUCCCUUAAAUGGGGACCUGUAUGAACGGCAAGACGAGGGCUUGACUGUCUCCUUUCUCCAGUUAAUGAAAUUGACCUUCCCGUGCAGAGGCGGGAAUACUAUCAUAAGACGAGAAGACCCUGUGGAGCUUAAGGCACUUGUUCUGCUCAUGUAGAAAACUCCAAUUAACGAGCACUACUUUGUGAAACCAGACCCAAUGCCUUCGGUUGGGGCGACCCUGGGGAAACAAAAAACCCCCAUGUGGAGUGGGGCUAAGCCCUAAAAACAAGAGCCCCUGCUCUAAUCAACAGUACCUCUGACCUAACGAUCCGGAGGCCGAUUAACGAACCAAGUUACCCCAGGGAUAACAGCGCAAUCCCCUUAUAGAGCCCAUAUCGACAAGGGGGUUUACGACCUCGAUGUUGGAUCAGGAUGUCCUAAUGGUGCAGCCGCUAUUAAGGGUUCGUU